Molecule: transfer RNA, 358 nt
Filed under: uncultured Microcystis sp.
Lineage: Bacteria; Bacillati; Cyanobacteriota; Cyanophyceae; Chroococcales; Microcystaceae
Description: partial 16S-23S ribosomal RNA intergenic spacer
Rfam family: tRNA (bases 135-208)
Source: RNAcentral
AAGGGAGACCUAAUUCCGGUAGGAGACGAAAAAAAAGUAGUCCCUACCAAGAAUCAAUCCCAAAAGGUCGAAGCGAGGCAAGAUUGGCUUUCAAACUAGGUUCUGGGUUCAAACAAGACCUGAAUCAGGAACAAGGGCUAUUAGCUCAGGUGGUUAGAGCGCACCCCUGAUAAGGGUGAGGUCCCUGGUUCGAGUCCAGGAUGGCCCACCUGCACAGGUGGCAAAAACAAAGAAGCGAGGAAUCAGCACCUUAUCUUACUCAUAUAGUAAGAGAGAAUGCUGGCUCUGAGUAAAGAGUCCAGAGGAACCUUGAAAACUGCAUAGAGCUAGGUGAAAAAGCCAAGAAAGAAGACCGCAA